AGAGCGAACGCUGGCGGCAGGCCUAAUACAUGCAAGUCGAACGGAUCCUUCGGGAUUAGUGGCGGACGGGUGAGUAACACGUGGGAACGUGCCCUUUGGUUCAGAACAACUCAGGGAAACUUGAGCUAAUACUGGAUAAGCCCUUCGGGGGAAAGAUUUAUCGCCAUUGGAGCGGCCCGCGUCUGAUUAGCUAGUUGGUAGGGUAAAGGCCUACCAAGGCUACGAUCAGUAGCUGGUCUGAGAGGACGAUCAGCCGGAUUGGGACUGAGAUACGGCCCAGACUCCUACGGGGGGCAGCAAUUAGGAAUCUUGCACAAUGGGCGAAAGCCUGAUGCAGCGACGUCGCGUGGAGGAUGAAAUCUUUCGGGAUGUAAACUCCUUUUCCCAGGAAGAACAAAUGACGGUACCUGGGGAAUAAGCCCGGCUAACUACGUGCCAGCAGCCGC
RNAcentral lists this ribosomal RNA (446 nucleotides) under uncultured bacterium. Its description in RNAcentral is "SSU rRNA". It matches the Rfam family "Bacterial small subunit ribosomal RNA", at positions 26 to 518 of the family's 1533-position model. The record is from RNAcentral.